RNAcentral lists this ribosomal RNA (447 nucleotides) under uncultured bacterium. RNAcentral describes it as "bacterial SSU rRNA". It matches the Rfam family "Bacterial small subunit ribosomal RNA", at positions 355 to 825 of the family's 1533-position model. The record is from RNAcentral.
UCGGGAAUUUUGGGCAAUGGGCGAAAGCCUGACCCAGCAACGCCGCGUGAAGGAUGAAGUAUUUCGGUAUGUAAACUUCGAAAGAAUAGGAAGAAUAAAUGACGGUACUAUUUAUAAGGUCCGGCUAACUACGUGCCAGCAGCCGCGGUAAUACGUAGGGACCAAGCGUUGUUCGGAUUUACUGGGCGUAAAGGGCGCGUAGGCGGCAAUUCAAGUCAUCUGUGAAAUCUCCGGGCUUAACUCGGAACGGUCAGAUGAUACUGCUUUGCUAGAGUGCAGAAGGGGCAAUCGGAAUUCUUGGUGUAGCGGUGAAAUGCGUAGAUAUCAAGAGGAACACCUGAGGUGAAGACGGGUUGCUGGGCUGACACUGACGCUGAGGCGCGAAAGCCAGGGGAGCAAACAGGAUUAGAUACCCGUGUAGUCCCUGAGCGGGCUGGCAAGGCGCAU